RNAcentral lists this transfer RNA (72 nucleotides) under Camelus ferus (Wild Bactrian camel). It matches the Rfam family "tRNA". Rfam says of the family: Transfer RNA (tRNA) molecules are approximately 80 nucleotides in length. Lineage: Eukaryota; Metazoa; Chordata; Mammalia; Artiodactyla; Camelidae. The record is from Rfam by way of RNAcentral.
UGGGGUAUAGCUCAAUGGUAGAGCACAUGCUUAGCAUGUGCGAGGGCCUAGGUUCAAUCCCCAGUACCUCCA